AAAAAAAUGAAACUUAUCUGUUUUUUUAUAUCAUAUAUCUUGGUAAACGUUUCGGCAGAUUUUGAAGCGGAAUACAAGAAACUUGUUUUAGUUACAAAUUUAUCCAUCAUGGAAGCUGGAACGAAUAGAUUGGAGGGAAUAAUUGAAGAAAUGGUUAAUGAGGCCAAUCAUUGCAACAUUUUCGG
Long non-coding RNA from Adelges cooleyi (spruce gall adelgid), 185 nucleotides. RefSeq lists it as uncharacterized. The transcript is spliced from 4 exons. Lineage: Eukaryota; Metazoa; Arthropoda; Insecta; Hemiptera; Adelgidae. The record is from RefSeq and is a predicted model, not a curated record.